RNAcentral lists this ribosomal RNA (318 nucleotides) under uncultured Bacteroidota bacterium. RNAcentral describes it as "bacterial SSU rRNA". It matches the Rfam family "Bacterial small subunit ribosomal RNA", at positions 28 to 351 of the family's 1533-position model. The record is from RNAcentral. Lineage: Bacteria; Pseudomonadati; Bacteroidota.
GAUGAACGCUAGCGGGAGGCUUAACACAUGCAAGUCGAGCGGGAUCCCCUUCGGGGGUGAGAGCGGCGCACGGGUGCGUAACGCGUAUGCAACCUGCCUUAUACAGGGGGAUAGCCCAUGGAAACGUGGAUUAAUAUCCCAUAGGAUUAAAGUUUCGCAUGAAACUAUGAUUAAAACUGAGGUGGUAUAAGAUGGGCAUGCGUCUGAUUAGGUAGUUGGUGGGGUAACGGCCCACCAAGCCGACGAUCAGUAGGGGUUCUGAGAGGAUUACCCCCCACACUGGUACUGAGACACGGACCAGACUCCUACGGGAGGCAG